Molecule: ribosomal RNA, 111 nt
Filed under: Microcebus murinus (gray mouse lemur)
Lineage: Eukaryota; Metazoa; Chordata; Mammalia; Primates; Cheirogaleidae
Source: RNAcentral
AGCAAGUCUGAGUGUCUAUGGUUGAACAUGCCUGACGUCUUCUGAUCUCAGAAGCUAAGCAUCGUCAGGCCUAAUUAGAACUUGGAUGGGAGAGUGUCAGGUGAGUUGUUU